GACAGUUUUAUUUAAAAUGAGAAAAGAAAUCUCAACCAGUGAUUGGAGGCGUGGAGAUGUAGAUUUCUUAUUCUGAGCCGGCCUUAGGCCACCGACCAGGAAAGCUCGGGAGGAAUGCUUCUGGUUAUAAACUGCCCCGUGCUUUCCACCUGGAACACGUACACUCCAGCAAUCCCACCACGCCCACAGGCCCGGGCAACCGCUCAGCUCUGCGGCUUCACCUCCCUCCGCUCUGCCUUAGAUCCACCUCUGACAGCAAGGUCUCACUGCAACAGUGAAGAGCCAGCUGGGUCACUUAGCCUCUGGGGAAAGAGACCGCCUGCCACCUUCCAACCAUUUCAGGUGAUUUUGACGUACAGUUGCCACAGCUCCCAGCACUCCCCAGCCCCAUCCCAAAGUUGUAGGUCACACGGUGCGUAGGUCUGUAACCCAGACCCAUUCGCGACUUAAUGGACAAAGUAAAAUAGGAAAGUAGAGUUAAGAAAAAAAAGAAAAAAAAGAAAAAAAAUCAAUAGUCCAAUUGUCCUUGAUGUGAACAAGUACGUGUGGAACACAGAAAGGUAAUGUUAGCCUUUUACAACUAAUCAUAAAAUAAUUCCAGCGCUUUAUAAUUUAAAUAAAUGGAGAAAUCAACAGCACAAAUCUGCGAUGCGCUGUCUGAACAUCUAGAACACAGCUGGGCCUACUACUGCACUGCACGGGGGAAAAGUUUUAAAUAUUUCUCUUUGAAGUCGAGUGCACGGGUUCCUUCCCAACUUCUGUGCGCUCUCCCGAAUAAAGACCCGGGUAGGUGGGUUAGAGCUGUAACUACCGCCUCCAGGUGACACUUAACCCGCACCGCCUGCUGGGUAAAGAAGACCGCUCCGAUCCGAAGUCCCCGUUUGCGACUUGAGAGACCGGAGCGACGCUCCAUCGCGCCAAGCUACAGGGUGAACAAUCGUCGUCUGCAGUGCCACUCCAGCACAGUGCUCCUGCCGAGCAGCCAGCUGCCCGAGGACGGAAACCGUGAGCCACGGGAAACCAUUCCUCCUUUAAAGUAGGGGAAGAACCUGGAAUCCCACUGCAGAAAGAUUCCAAGCACCACAAAACCCAGGAAUAUUUAUUUGGAAAAGCGAAAAACUUUCCAAGAAUGAGAAAGUCCUGAUGAACAUUUGAUCGGAAGUUCUAGUCAGCUAUCCUGUGCAUGGCUCACUGAACCACCAGACCGUUUGCCAAUACCCUCUGAUGCAGUGGUGUAUCUGAGCAUAGACUCAAAGGUGGAGGAGCACAAGAGAGCUGUCCGCGUGCCAGAGACCUGAGGAAUUCGGGUGAGGUCCUAGAGCCAGGGCAGCGCCCCAGCCAGGCCGCACCACGAGGCCGACGAGGCCGUGCAGGAAGCGAAGAAUCCACGCAGAGAACCUGGAGACGACGCUCAAGGUGAAGCGACCAGAGCUCCCAGCCCGCGCGUGCCAAAGGCCUGCAGACAAGCUCGAGGCACGGCAAAGCCCACAGCUGCUCCCAAGAGGACAUCGGCCAUCCUCGGGGCAGGCGAAGCUCAGCCCGGAGGACACAGAAGCUUCUCCGAGGAAAACCAGCGGCACUAAGCGCUCCCAGGAGAGUGGCUCCUCAGAAGGCCUGAAUUUGAGCCCCAGAAGACAGCUGGAGACCCAUACACCAGGCAAGGACUCUUCUUCCCACCAACGCUCAGCUUUGUUUUUCUUUCUCACUAACUUUCACAAGUUCAAUCCCCGGCAUGGGUCUACACCGGCUGCCCGGCUGCCUCCUACACCCCAGGAACACAGAGAAUAACCGUGUCGGGCUCCCCUUCUCUAGUGCCCUGUGCUCAGGGAAGUAGCAUCUUGGUUUACAAACGUGGGGCCAGAUCCUGCCGAAAAGGGAAGGGACGGCACAGGGAGUCGCUGGAGGUGAGCACACAGCCCAGAGAGGCCCACUGCCUUGCGCACGCUCCACUGGAGCCCCGCGCGCCAGACACGGCCAGGGCGCCUUCCGCCUAGUGUUACAUAAUGACCAAACUCCCGGGCCCCAAUACCUUCUCUGAAAAAAUAUUAAACAUUGGAUAAAUAUCGCUUACCCCAAAACUAAUGCCUCCAUCAGCAGAUGUUCUGUACUAUGUUGUUUCAUUUCCUCCAUUUUUUUGGUCAUUAUUGUCCUGUUUAUUGAUGUCUGCUUGUUAAUUGUUACUUUCUGCAACCUACCCAAAGAACAUAAACUUCACCAAAGACCUCUCCUGCUCUGUCCAGUUUUAUUCCAGUGCAGAAGAGUUACUGGCAUGUAGACACUGUUCAGAAAAUGCUAGUUAAAUCAAAGAAUUUGAAGACAUCUCAUAUUUAAAGUGCACUUUAAGAAAUAUGUGAAUGAUAAAAGGUAGUUAGAAAUAUUAGGAUGGCUACUUUCAACAUUUGAAAGAGCUGCAGAUCAUCCCCUAAGUACUUUAUAAAAUCUGGUGAGUCACAAC
Chinchilla lanigera (long-tailed chinchilla) is the source of this 2455-nucleotide long non-coding RNA. RefSeq lists it as uncharacterized. The record is from RefSeq and is a predicted model, not a curated record. The transcript is spliced from 6 exons. NCBI's taxonomy places the organism in Eukaryota, Metazoa, Chordata, Mammalia, Rodentia, Chinchillidae.